UGAGUGAUGGUAGGAAAAAAGAAAAACAACUUGACUUAUCUUGCACAAUCACUGCAAUGUUUUCCAAAACCAACUUGUCAGUGCAGUACUGGAGUAAAGUUACCAGCAUGACCCUCAAUGCAUUAGUAAAUCACAACAAACUCCAACAGCAAACCCUACCAGAGUCAGAAUUAAAAGCCAGUCAUUGAUAAUAUCUCAACGCUAAGUACUUUAGACGACAAGCCCCAUUAGAAAGACAACAUCAAGAUCAAAACCCAGUAAAUCUCUCUUUAUUAUAUAUUUCAAUUGUAUUCAUUUAAUAUGCAUUGCUUUUUGCAACAAGCAAAGAACACAAAGAUGAAAGUGGGAAGGUGAUGACUGAGCAGAUGUGAAUAAGUACCACUGGAGUAAAGAAAAUCAGUCUUUUGAAUAUGAUCAGAUCACAGUUAACCACAUACUGUACAUCAUAACAGCACCGAAUACCUUCACAAUCUUCUCAAUCACUGACAAAACACACGGACAAAAAAUGCUGCAUUUGGAAUCAAAAGUGCUGAUAUCAAACCAUGACCGUAUAAGCAUACAAGCAUGAUGAGCUAGACGACACGCAAAGAAGCAAAGCCUAAAUGUUUAGUGUCUUCAUGAUCACACACGUGCACACACACACACACACACACACACACACACAGAUCCAGCUCCAACACAAAAGCUUUUCGGUUUGUUUUCUUCACUUGGAGGGUAAGAAAGACUUCAGAAAAAUAUAGCAGUCACAGGAUCAUAAAGGAAAUAAAAGCAGUUACUUAAAGAAAGACCUUAUGCAGGAUAGUGUUCAACUGAAACAACAUACACAUAGAACAUAAAUAGGGCCUAAAAAAAAACAAUAAUACAUAUUUAUGCACAGUAACAAAAAA
Molecule: long non-coding RNA, 887 nt
Organism: Sinocyclocheilus rhinocerous
Lineage: Eukaryota; Metazoa; Chordata; Actinopteri; Cypriniformes; Cyprinidae
Exons: 2
Source: RefSeq, a predicted model, not a curated record